Molecule: ribosomal RNA, 253 nt
Filed under: uncultured bacterium
Lineage: Bacteria
Description: partial 16S ribosomal RNA
Rfam family: Bacterial small subunit ribosomal RNA
Source: RNAcentral
UACGGAGGGUGCGAGCGUUGUCCGGAAUCACUGGGCGUAAAGGGCGCGUAGGCGGCGCGGGAAGUCCGUGGUGAAAGCCCGAGGCUCAACUUCGGGUCGGCCAUGGAUACUCCUGGGCUCGAGCACUGUAGAGGCAGGUGGAAUUCCGGGUGUAGCGGUGGAAUGCGUAGAGAUCCGGAAGAACACCGGUGGCGAAAGCGCUCUGCUAGGCCGCAACUGACACUCAUGGACGAAAGCUAGGGGAGCGAAUGGG